This 497-nucleotide ribosomal RNA is filed under the name uncultured bacterium. Its description in RNAcentral is "partial 16S ribosomal RNA". It matches the Rfam family "Bacterial small subunit ribosomal RNA", at positions 28 to 507 of the family's 1533-position model. The record is from RNAcentral.
GAUGAACGCUGGCGGCGUGCCUAAUACAUGCAAGUCGAGCGAACAGACGAGGAGCUUGCUCCUCUGACGUUAGCGGCGGACGGGUGAGUAACACGUGGAUAACCUACCUAUAAGACUGGGAUAACUUCGGGAAACCGGAGCUAAUACCGGAUAAUAUAUUGAACCGCAUGGUUCAAUAGUGAAAGACGGUUUUGCUGUCACUUAUAGAUGGAUCCGCGCCGCAUUAGCUAGUUGGUAAGGUAACGGCUUACCAAGGCAACGAUGCGUAGCCGACCUGAGAGGGUGAUCGGCCACACUGGAACUGAGACACGGUCCAGACUCCUACGGGGGGCAGCAGUAGGGAAUCUUCCGCAAUGGGCGAAAGCUUGACGGAGCAACGCCGCGUGAGUGAUGAAGGUCUUCGGAUCGUAAAACUCUGUUAUUAGGGAAGAACAUAUGUGUAAGUAACUAUGCACGUCUUGACGGUACCUAAUCAGAAAGCCACGGCUAACUACGUG